This 63-nucleotide transfer RNA is filed under the name Sinoxylon sp. SIN01. RNAcentral describes it as "tRNA-Tyr". The record is from RNAcentral. Lineage: Eukaryota; Metazoa; Arthropoda; Insecta; Coleoptera; Bostrichidae.
AGUAAAAUGGCCGAGUUUAGGCGGUAAAUUGUAAAUUUUCUUACGAGUUAGACUCUUUUACUA